Molecule: ribosomal RNA, 434 nt
Filed under: uncultured Ruminococcus sp.
Lineage: Bacteria; Bacillati; Bacillota; Clostridia; Eubacteriales; Oscillospiraceae
Description: partial 16S ribosomal RNA
Rfam family: Bacterial small subunit ribosomal RNA
Source: RNAcentral
ACGGGAGGCAGCAGUGGGGAAUAUUGCACAAUGGGCGCAUGCCUGAUGCAGCGAUGCCGCGUGCGGGAAGAAGGUUUUCGGAUUGUAAACCUCUGUCCUCGGGGACGAUACUGACUGUACCCGAGAAGGAAGCCCCGGCUAACUACGUGCCAGCAGCCGCGGUAAUACGUCGGGAGCGAGCGUUAUCCGGAAUUACUGGGUGUAAAGGGAGUGUAGGCGGGACUGUAAGUCAGAUGUGAAAUACGCCGGCUCAACUGGCAGACUGCAUUUGAAACUGCAGUUCUUGAGUGAAGUAGAGGUAAGCGGAAUUCCUAGUGUAGCGGUGAAAUGCGUAGAUAUUAGGAGGAACAUCAGUGGCGAAGGCGGCUUACUGGGCUUUAACUGACGCUGAGGCUCGAAAGCGUGGGGAGCAAACAGGAUUAGAUACCAUGGUA